UUCAGUGCUGGUUUUACUGUUGUCGUAAAAACAGAUUUGAAUGGAAAUCUUAUGAGAUACUUAUGUGCCAAAGACAGGACAGAAAUGUACAGAUGGGUAGCGGCCAUAUUGAAUAUGAAGCAUCCAGAAGGUAUAUGGACAGACCCUAUCGCUGCAGCAGAGUUGAAGACACGAAGGGUAAGAGCUUGUUGAAAUCUGAGAAACUAAUGACGACAAAUCGCAAAAUAGACGCAACAGAACAACAGCAAAACAUCAACCAAAAAAUAAAGUGACGUUUUGG
Molecule: long non-coding RNA, 280 nt
Organism: Actinia tenebrosa (Australian red waratah sea anemone)
Lineage: Eukaryota; Metazoa; Cnidaria; Anthozoa; Actiniaria; Actiniidae
Source: RefSeq, a predicted model, not a curated record